Long non-coding RNA from Mastomys coucha (southern multimammate mouse), 707 nucleotides. RefSeq lists it as uncharacterized. The record is from RefSeq and is a predicted model, not a curated record. The transcript has 3 exons. Lineage: Eukaryota; Metazoa; Chordata; Mammalia; Rodentia; Muridae.
AACAUUCUAGGCAAUAGCUGUUGCCCUUGGUUACCACUGAGAGGUAGAAAUUAAGUCCUAUUGCUGAAGAUGCCAUAUACUUCAGACACAGGCCCCAGAGGAUGAAGAUGAGUUUAACCAGAAAGUCUCUCCCUCUGUACUAGCUGUCAUGAAACCAGAAUGUACCAUUAUACUUUUUAACACCUGAAUUACUCUAUUUCACUUCUGCCCUAGCUACUUUAUUUGAAAUUCAUUUGAAAGAGGCUUACUCCAGAACAAUGCUUUCCCCCUUCGUUUUCUUUUUCUCUUAUACAAAUUUACUUUAUUGCUCCUACAUAAGAAAAGACUAUCUUCAUGGAAUAUACAGUUUGAAUUGGCAUUGGCUGGAUUGUGCCUUUAAGAUUGCACUAAAACAAAGGAUUCAAUGAUGUGGUUGUAUUUGACAGCAAGAUAGAUGAGAAAAUGCAAUCUAUUCUGUAUUUUGUUCAACUGAAAACUUUAAUAAAUAGCUUCGAGUCAAGAAGAAAAUCCUUAAGAAAAACAUUGAUAUGUUGUAUUUAUUGGAACCAGCUAUAAUACUAUAUGCUGAUAAAGAGACAAAUUCAAUGCACUCUGCCAAACUACCAGAAGGAAGACUUGAAAUUUUGAUGGACAAGCUGUGAAGAUAAAAACCUAAGUUUCAAAAUAACAACAACAACAACAACAAUAAAAAAAAAACAAGUUUCUUG